AGGAUAGUAGCUUCCAUAGUGAGAUUCUAACCGAGCUGAAACUUAACUCAAAACUAAUGAUGUUGCAGACAUUGUUAUGCUGUGUAUUUCUGUGGAUGUCAUGUAAGUUAAGGAAAAUAUUCUCUAAUCAUGUUUUUUUUUGUUUUAAAUAAAUACAGAGUUUAAUCCUUUCUAUCUUUACAGAUGUUCGCUCUCAGACGCCAGUACUAAGUCCUCCAGUUGCAUCUGUUGGUUCUGGACAAAGCUUCACUUUUAAUUGCAUCGUAGGAGUCAAGGAUUCCAAUUCAAUGGCUUUCCUUAAACAAUCAGAGGGUGAGCCUCCAAAGCUCAUUUUCAAAAACUAUCACUCAUACCAAUCUCCUGUGUAUGGACCAGAUAUGUCCUCAACUCACUACACUGGCUCAAUAAACAGCGCAGGAACUGAAUAUCAAUUGAUUAUUAAAAACACAGAUAUUACAGAUACUUCACUGUAUCACUGUGUUAAGUUCUAUACAAGUCUUAAUGGAUG
This is a non-coding RNA of Pelobates cultripes (western spadefoot toad), 508 nucleotides long. The record is from the annotation of a GenBank genome assembly. NCBI's taxonomy places the organism in Eukaryota, Metazoa, Chordata, Amphibia, Anura, Pelobatidae.